This 77-nucleotide transfer RNA is filed under the name Candidatus Kerfeldbacteria bacterium CG08_land_8_20_14_0_20_43_14. RNAcentral describes it as "tRNA-Met". It matches the Rfam family "tRNA". Rfam says of the family: Transfer RNA (tRNA) molecules are approximately 80 nucleotides in length. Lineage: Bacteria; Candidatus Kerfeldiibacteriota. The record is from RNAcentral.
GCCAGGGUAGCUCAGUUGGUUAGAGCGGAGGACUCAUAAGCCUCAGGUCGUGGGUUCAAAUCCCACCCCUGGUACCA